RNAcentral lists this ribosomal RNA (164 nucleotides) under uncultured bacterium. RNAcentral describes it as "partial 16S rRNA". It matches the Rfam family "Bacterial small subunit ribosomal RNA", at positions 355 to 511 of the family's 1533-position model. The record is from RNAcentral.
UAGGGAAUCUUCCACAAUGGACGAAAGUCUGAUGGAGCAACGCCGCGUGAGUGAAGAAGGUCUUCGGAUCGUAAAGCUCUGUUGUUGGUGAAGAAGGAUAGAGGCAGUAACUGGUCUUUAUUUGACGGUAAUCAACCAGAAAGUCACGGCUAACUACGGGCCAG